UCGAGGAUCUUCGGCAAUGGGCGCAAGCCUGACCGAGCGACGCCGCGUGUGCGAUGAAGGCCUUCGGGUUGUAAAGCACUGUCGAGGGGGAGAAAAGCCCGCAAGGGUCUGAUCUAUCCCUGGAGGAAGCACGGGCUAAGUUCGUGCCAGCAGCCGCGGUAAGACGAACCGUGCGAACGUUGUUCGGAAUCACUGGGCUUAAAGGGCGCGUAGGCGGACCAUCAAGUCCGUGGUGAAAUCCCCCGGCCCAACCGGGGAAGUGCUGCGGAUACUGGUGGUCUCGAGUGGGGUAGGGGCAUGUGGAACUUCCGGUGGAGCGGUGAAAUGCGUAGAUAUCGGAAGGAACGCCGGUGGCGAAAGCGACGUGCUGGACCCCUUCUGACGCUGAGGCGCGAAAGCCAGGGGAGCAAACGG
This 414-nucleotide ribosomal RNA is filed under the name uncultured bacterium. Its description in RNAcentral is "bacterial SSU rRNA". It matches the Rfam family "Bacterial small subunit ribosomal RNA", at positions 355 to 775 of the family's 1533-position model. The record is from RNAcentral.